ACUCCUUCCCUGCCUUUCCUACCUAUCACUCUCGUGCUGAAAGUUGGAGCUCCUUACCCAAAGACUGGGCGGAAAGGGUGACCGCCCUGGACCCCUGCCCGACUUCCCGUUAGGCCAAGCCGCUGUCCUGAAAGGGGAUCGUGUCCAGGCCGGCUUCCUGGAGACACACCUGCGCCUGCACACACCCACCGCGGUCGCGUCACCAGUGCCGCGGCCACGUGGACGAAGACCAAAGUCUGGAGGGAAUUCCCUCAGCCACAAAGCGAUGGGAAAGCGGGACCCGGUGGAGACCAGAGUCUUGCUAUGCUUUCCAGGCUGGUUUUGAACUCCUAGCCUCAAGCGAUUUUCCUGCCUCAGCUUCCCAAAGUGCUGGGAUUACAGGCACAAGCCACUGCACCCGGCCCUGUUGUUGUUAAGAAAAUUACAAGUUAAAUCUUGUACCAGUGAACAAGAUUAGGGAUCGUGAUGUGGAGCUGCACUUCCUGGUUCCAAAUCCUGGCUCUUCCCCUCAUCCCUGGGUAAGUUGAGGGAUGAGAGCAAGAGAAGGUUGAUCCUGACUCAGAUCUCUGCAUGGGGCAUGUCACUGAUGACGGCGGCAUUCCCUGAGAGAGGGAACACUAAGUUUGAAGUUGGGCAUAGUGAGCACUAUUUUGGAUGAGUUAAGUUUAGAAGUGCCUGAAGACAUCCAAGUGGAAGAAGUGGCUGCAUGGACUGAAGAUACAGACUGGGAAACGUUAACACCAUCAAGGAACUGGAGUCCUGGGCACAGCCCUUCAAGACAGAGGAGAUUAUGGGGCUACUGAACGUAUCUUGGACUUUAGAGAAAGAAAGUGAAGCUGAGCUGAGAUCCAUUGGUUCUAUUUUGGAAAGAUGCACCCCGUGGCAUGACCUUCACAGCUCAGUUCUGGGGUCAAAGGAAUUUUCCAUUGCUCACACUGCCACCCAACUCUGGGGGCAUAAGUGUGGAAGUGGUACAGCACACAUGGAGAAGGGAUGGGAGGAGCAGGGGUGUGUAUCAGCUUAGCCGAUCCCCCGAGGAGCUGCCAAGCUUGCUACCCCAAGAACAAUGCCUCAUAGCUCUGUGACCUCUUCAAGAUUAAGGCUCUUUGAUCUCAGCCCUUCUGAAGUGGUUUGAACCAUAUUCUAUACAAAAUUGGUAACUCCCCCAUAAGAAUUGCUUUUUAAAUAUCCUGCUCUAUUUGAAAAAGGAAUUUUAAAAAUAAAGUUUACCCUUUUACUCUCUCCCAGCAAGUGAGAUAUUCAAAACAACAAAAAUUCCUCUAACAUGUUAUGAUGUGGAAACUGGUAUUUUACUGAUUUGUCUUUUCCACUUGGCUUCAAGUUCUUUGGGGAAUGAAGAUCAUAUCAAUCCCUAGCCGACCGCUUCAGGCACAACUGCAAAUGUUUCUUGAAUGAACUUCCAGGCUUACCUGAAUUCUAAGGGGGAUUUCCACCAUAAUGGGAAAGCCACAAGAAAACCAGCAAAGGGUUUAAAAAAAAAAGGGUGAAAAUAUAAGUUAUUUAUCGGGGGUUAUCACUUUAUGCAGAGAGCAUUCGAAACAAUGAUUUCCACAAAUGGGCAGCAACAGUAACAGCCAUACUAAGCCAUUGCUUUCUUUACUUCCUCUUGGUCUAGAAUAUGCUGCAAAGGGAGAAGAAGGAAGACGUGUGGUAUGGAAUCACCUAUGGAUAAGGUUGAGAACCAUGGGCUAGAUGCUAUGGAGACCAACGUAUCACUUACUAGGCUUUACUUUGUGCCAGGCACUGGAUUCGGCAUUACCCCAUUUAAGCCUCACUACCAUCCUUCAUGUUACUAUUCCACGUUGCCGCUCAGGAGAAACAAAAUUUUUUUAUUAAAUUCAAGUAACCUGAGGUCCCAUAUUUAGUAAGAGGCAGAGGAGUUAGAUGUGUCAAUAGCUAAAUUACAUGGCUGUGUCCUCUAGCUGGCCAGGGACUGACAACAUCAGUAUCACCUGGUGACUCUCCCAGGGGAGAUGUUUUUAAAAAUCUUUUCCAGUAAUUCUGUGCAACAUGGCAAUCUGAAACCAGUCUUUCAGACCUGGAAGUUCUUUAGAGACCACAGGACUCUCUUUGAUAUUUUUUCUUUUGAAUUUUUUUAAAAUACAGAAUCCUUUUUCAUGUUCUCUGUUUAUAAAACAACUGCAUGUCAAUUACAUUAUUUUUUAGAAGAUAGGUACAAGAGCCAGGCGUGGUGGCUCAUGGCUGUAAUCACAACACUUUGGGAGGUCGAGGCAGGUGGAUCAUUUGAGGCUGGAAGUUCGAGACCAGCCUGGCCAACAUGGCAAAACCUGUCUCUACUAAAAAUAUAAAAAAUUAGCCUGGAGUAGUGGUGCAUGUCCCAGCUACUCGGGAGGCUGAGGCAUGAAAAUCGCUUGAACCCGGGAGGUGCAGGUUGCAGUGAGCCAAGAUCGCACCACUGCACUCCAGCCUGGGCAACAGAGCAAGACUGUGUCUUGACAGCAACAAAAAAAGAAGAUAGGUAUAGGAAUUAAAAAGAAAGCAAAUAAUUACUGGUAGCCUGACCACUAAGAGAUAUAUACUGAUAUUUUUUUUGCGGGGGGUGCAUCUCCUUGCAGGCCUUUUUGUAUGUUUAUGUUCAAACACAUUUGUAACAACAAUGAAUAAAAAACGCAUAAUAUUCAAUGA
RNAcentral lists this long non-coding RNA (2667 nucleotides) under Homo sapiens (human). RNAcentral's name for it is "PRKCH antisense RNA 1, transcript variant 2 (PRKCH-AS1)". Lineage: Eukaryota; Metazoa; Chordata; Mammalia; Primates; Hominidae. The record is from RNAcentral.